CUUGUUCAAUUAUAGGAGGUCCAGCCUGCCCAGUGACUUUGUUCAACGGCCGCGGUAUCCUAACCGUGCGAAGGUAGCGUAAUCACUUGUUCUUUAAAUGAGGACUAGUAUGAAUGGCCCCACGAGGGCUGCACUGUCUCCUUUUUCUAAUCAAUGAAACUAAUCUCCCCGUGAAGAAGCGGGAAUUAUACUAUAAGACGAGAAGACCCUAUGGAGCUUUAAACAAUUGAAACAUUUGCUUUUCUCCUAGCUCCUCCCGAGCUCUUUAUUUUAUUUAAGCAUUAUUAUUUCUAGUUUUAGGUUGGGGUGACCACGGAGCAAAACUAAACCUCCAUGAAGAAAUGAAUAUUUUUAAGCCACAAACUACUUUUUUAAGCAUCAACAAAUUGACCUUCAUUGACCCAAUAUAUUGAUCAACGAAC
This 422-nucleotide ribosomal RNA is filed under the name Ameerega trivittata group sp. ABGD cluster 24. Its description in RNAcentral is "partial large subunit ribosomal RNA". It matches the Rfam family "Bacterial large subunit ribosomal RNA", at positions 1834 to 2457 of the family's 2925-position model. The record is from RNAcentral. Lineage: Eukaryota; Metazoa; Chordata; Amphibia; Anura; Dendrobatidae.